RNAcentral lists this ribosomal RNA (882 nucleotides) under uncultured organism. RNAcentral describes it as "SSU rRNA". It matches the Rfam family "Bacterial small subunit ribosomal RNA", at positions 38 to 921 of the family's 1533-position model. The record is from RNAcentral.
GGCGGCGUGCUUAACACAUGCAAGUCGAACGGGAAACAUUUUAUUGAAGCUUCGGCAGAUUUAGAUUGUUUCUAGUGGCGGACGGGUGAGUAACGCGUGGGUAACCUGCCUUAUACCGGGGGAUAACAGCCAGAAAUGACUGCUAAUACCGCAUAAGCGCACAGAACCGCAUGGUUCGGUGUGAAAAACUCCGGUGGUAUAAGAUGGACCCGCGUUGGAUUAGCUAGUUGGCAGGGCAGCGGCCUACCAAGGCGACGAUCCAUAGCCGGCCUGAGAGGGUGAACGGCCACAUUGGGACUGAGACACGGCCCAGACUCCUACGGGAGGCAGCAGUGGGUAAUAUUGCACAAUGGGGGAAACCCUGAUGCAGCGACGCCGCGUGAAGGAAGAAGUAUCUCGGUAUGUAAACUUCUAUCAGCAGGGAAGAUAAUGACGGUACCUGACUAAGAAGCCCCGGCUAACUACGUGCCAGCAGCCGCGGUAAUACGUAGGGGGCAAGCGUUAUCCGGAUUUACUGGGUGUAAAGGGAGCGUAGACGGCGCAGCAAGUCUGAUGUGAAAGGCAGGGGCUUAACCCCUGGACUGCAUUGGAAACUGCUGUGCUUGAGUGCCGGAGGGGUAAGCGGAAUUCCUAGUGUAGCGGUGAAAUGCGUAGAUAUUAGGAGGAACACCAGUGGCGAAGGCGGCUUACUGGACGGUAACUGACGUUGAGGCUCGAAAGCGUGNGGAGCAAACAGGAUUAGAUACCCUGGUAGUCCACGCCGUANACGAUGAAUACUAGGUGUUAGGGAGCACAGCUCUUUGGUGCCGCCGCAAACGCAUUAAGUAUUCCACCUGGGGAGUACGUUCGCAAGAAUGAAACUCAAAGGAAUUGACGGGGACC